GCACGUUUCCCAACUACUAAAGAGAGAACACAAGAUUUCUCUUUUCCUUACUGGAAGAUGUGGGGGUGGAGCCAUUUAUUUAUAAAGCGGUAGCGCUGUGCGGCUCACACGCAAGUUGGUGUCACCGCUAUAUACUGGCAGGCAGCGCUUACGGGCUUCAGCUAUCAGUGACCGGCGGAAACACUGGACGUUACAAUCUCCCCGGCGCCUUGCCAUCUGAAUGCUUUUCCUUCUAAACGGAACCGAAAAAACAUCUUCCAUUUUGGAGGAAAAAGUCACCGUCAAGCUGCCUACCACAGAGCCCAUACGUCCACCCGCUCUGGAUGCUACAGGGGUGCCCGCCUCCUUCCUGGCUGCCCGUACCCGCCGCGGGGCCCCACACGGCAUCCGCCGGGACAGCUGGCAGGGCGUGGGUGUAGCGCCAUGGUAACCUACAGCAAGCUGGAGCCCGCCAUGAGCAGCAGCCCCUUUGACACCGGCGCUCGGCUGCAGCACCACCGAUACAAGAUGUUCAGCUCGGGGCCCGAGUACCAGCUGGUUCUGAAGGCCGUGCACAAACUGAAGGAGAGCGGCUUCUACUGGGGUGCCGUCGAUGGCAAGGACGCCAACGGGCUCCUCAGUGCGGAACCUGCCGGCACCUUUCUGGUGCGGGACAGUUCGGACAACCGACACCUCUUCACGCUAAGCGUCAAGACUGCGUCGGGCACUAAGAACUUGCGCAUCCAAUUCGACGGCACCUCCUUCUUCCUGCAGACGGAACCCAUGGGGUCAUCGCCUGCCCCCAGCUUCGACUGCGUGCUCAAGCUGGUGCACCACUACAUGACCUCCGAGGCGGGACCUCGCAGCACCUACUUCAUCCACACGGGCAUGGAGAAGAUCCCACUGGAGCUGCUGCGGCCGCUCACCACCAGCAUGUCCUCUCUGCAGCACCUGUGCCGCAAGACUGUCAAUGGGCACCUGGAUGUCUCCAGCAAGAGGGAGCAGCUACCACAGUCUCUGCAGAACUUCCUGGAGGAUUAUGAUGCUCCCAUCUAAAGAUCUCGGUCCAUGGGCCCCAGGUCCAACCACAAAAUUCCGCUGACUGAAUGCUAACCCCCCCCCCCCCCNCACCCCCUCGAGGGAGGGAGGAGACUUGCAGAGCGUGGGAUGUGACUAGACAGGAGGCUCAGCUGGUGAGGAACCGUCCGGUUGGCCCCCAUUAGCCACGGGUGGGCAGGAGGUGCGAAGAACUCGUGCCGAGUCGAUGCCAGACGCAGGACGAGGUGCCGCCCACCCAGGUGAAAGGUCUCCCCCCCCCCGCAUCGCUGCAGCAACCUGGCCUACGUGUAGCAGACGCCGGGACGAUGUUGCUGGGGGAAAUUUCCGGAAUGCUGCUAUGGCUGCCUGUUCAGUUCUCGUCUGGUUGGGAUGCUUCUUCCCUUUCAUUUGCUCCUGUUGACUUCGCUCGGCACUCGAUGAGCCCUGGAGCCAGCAGCCUGUGAUGUCACACACAUUUCCACUGCUGCUUGCCAACCACAAUUGCCUCAUAUGUGGCCAGGAAAUGGGGCUGGAGGGGAGCUGGGAGGGGGUAGCCUGAACUCGCCACCACCAGCCCACCCCCCGACGGCCGAACCCCCCCACCCCGGAUUUAAGACCCGAGCCGUGGGUCUAGGUGUUUGCCUGAGGAACCACAGCCAGUCUUGGCCAUGAGACUGGAAGGAGGAGGACUUGGAAUGGGGCCUUUUUUCUGUGCAUUAGCCCCUUGUCUCUGUCCCCCCCCCUCCUCCCCCCCUUCCCCCCCUCCCUUCCCCCGAAUUUGGCUGGUGGGGCUGGCACUCCAGAAGGAGUGUAAGGAGAACCGCGGAAGGAGGAACAGAGAACAGAGAGUGGUCUUAUAACGGCGCAAAAAAGUGAACGAUCUGUGAAAAGAGGCCGGGGGUGGGGUCAGGCAACACAGGGGCGGGGGAGGGUGUCUGACGCCAUUGUUCCCCAGAGAGCCGUCAAGCCUCCCCCCCACUAGCUCCCCCCCCCAGCCCAUUCAGUAAUUUAGGGGUUUCGUUCUGUGACCUCGGCAGACCCGUUAUCUGCCAGAUUAGCCACACGUGACACAAUCGCGCCGCAUUCGGUUUCACAAGUAGGAUGCCUGAUGUGCUUGCUAAUGAAUGUAUCGAAAAGGGGAAAGCAGACCCCCCCCCCCCCUCAGAGGAAGAGCCACAGAUUCCGUACUUUGUAUUUUGUUUUUUUGUUCUUAAGACAAUGUUUACAUGUAUGAAAACAGAUGACGGAUGAUAUGUGUUAAUUUUCCAGUCUUUUAUAAGGAGUUCCUCGUAAUGGCAGUCCAGAUUCCUGGCAGGGCAAGCUUGAAGAUCUGAAAAACCAACAAAAAAGAUAACAAAAGCAAACAAAAAGGAAACUUUGCACAUAUUUAUAUUUAUAGACUGUUUCAGACAUUUCAAUAAUUUAUAUUAAAGAGCACUAUUUUUACAAAAUCA
Paramormyrops kingsleyae is the source of this 2471-nucleotide non-coding RNA. The record is from RefSeq and is a predicted model, not a curated record. NCBI's taxonomy places the organism in Eukaryota, Metazoa, Chordata, Actinopteri, Osteoglossiformes, Mormyridae.